This 499-nucleotide ribosomal RNA is filed under the name uncultured bacterium. Its description in RNAcentral is "partial 16S ribosomal RNA". It matches the Rfam family "Bacterial small subunit ribosomal RNA", at positions 28 to 507 of the family's 1533-position model. The record is from RNAcentral.
GACGAACGCUGGCGGCGUGCCUAAUACAUGCAAGUCGAGCGAAGUUUUUCUGGUGCUUGCCCUAGAAAAACUUAGCGGCGAACGGGUGAGUAACACGUAAAGAACCUGCCUCAUAGACUGGGACAACUAUUGGAAACGAUAGCUAAUACCGGAUAACAGCAUUAACUGCAUGGUUGAUGUUUGAAAGUUGGUUUUGCUAACACUAUGAGAUGGCUUUGCGGUGCAUUAGCUAGUUGGUGGGGUAAAGGCCUACCAAGGCGACGAUGCAUAGCCGACCUGAGAGGGUGAUCGGCCACACUGGGACUGAGACACGGCCCAGACUCCUACGGGAGGCAGCAGUAGGGAAUCUUCCGCAAUGGGCGAAAGCCUGACGGAGCAACGCCGCGUGAGUGAAGAAGGAUUUCGGUUCGUAAAGCUCUGUUGUUAGGGAAGAAUGAUUAUGUAGUAACUAUACAUAGUAGAGACGGUACCUAACCAGAAAGCCACGGCUAACUACGUG